AAAAAGAACCUGAAACCGUGUACGUACAAGCAGUGGGAGCACCCUUUUGGGUGUGACUGCGUACCUUUUGUAUAAUGGGUCAGCGACUUAUAUUCUGUAGCAAGGUUAACCGUAUAGGGGAGCCGUAGGGAAACCGAGUCUUAACCGGGCGUUAAGUUGCAGGGUAUAGACCCGAAACCCGGUGAUCUAGCCAUGGGCAGGUUGAAGGUUGGGUAACACUAACUGGAGGACCGAACCGACUAAUGUUGAAAAAUUAGCGGAUGACCUGUGGCUGGGGGUGAAAGGCCAAUCAAACCGGGAGAUAGCUGGUUCUCCCCGAAAGCUAUUUAGGUAGCGCCUCGUGAAUUCAUCUCCGGGGGUAGAGCACUGUUUCGGCUAGGGGGCCAUCCCGGCUUACCAACCCGAUGCAAACUGCGAAUACCGGAGAAUGUUAUCACGGGAGACACACGGCGGGUGCUAACGUCCGUCGUGAAGAGGGAAACAACCCAGACCGCCAGCUAAGGUCCCAAAGUCAUGGUUAAGUGGGAAACGAUGUGGGAAGGCCCAGACAGCC
Molecule: ribosomal RNA, 553 nt
Filed under: Salmonella enterica subsp. enterica serovar Newport
Lineage: Bacteria; Pseudomonadati; Pseudomonadota; Gammaproteobacteria; Enterobacterales; Enterobacteriaceae
Description: partial 23S ribosomal RNA
Rfam family: Bacterial large subunit ribosomal RNA
Source: RNAcentral